AGCGUACACGGUGGAUGCCCUGGCAGUCAGAGGCGAUGAAGGACGUGCUAAUCUGCGAUAAGCGUCGGUAAGGUGAUAUGAACCGUUAUAACCGGCGAUUUCCGAAUGGGGAAACCCAGUGUGAUUCGUCACACUAUCAUUAACUGAAUCCAUAGGUUAAUGAGGCGAACCGGGGGAACUGAAACAUCUAAGUACCCCGAGGAAAAGAAAUCAACCGAGAUUCCCCCAGUAGCGGCGAGCGAACGGGGAGCAGCCCAGAGCCUGAAUCAGUGUGUGUGUUAGUGGAAGCGUCUGGAAAGGCGUGCGAUACAGGGUGACAGCCCCGUACACAAAAAUGCACAUGCUGUGAGCUCGAUGAGUAGGGCGGGACACGUGGUAUCCUGUCUGAAUAUGGGGGGACCAUCCUCCAAGGCUAAAUACUCCUGACUGACCGAUAGUGAACCAGUACCGUGAGGGAAAGGCGAAAAGAACCCCGGCGAGGGGAGUGAAAAAGAACCUGAAACCGUGUACGUACAAGCAGUGGGAGCACAGAGCAAUCUGUGUGACUGCGUACCUUUUGUAUAAUGGGUCAGCGACUUAUAUUCUGUAGCAAGGUUAACCGAAUAGGGGAGCCGAAGGGAAACCGAGUCUUAACUGGGCGUUAAGUUGCAGGGUAUAGACCCGAAACCCGGUGAUCUAGCCAUGGGCAGGUUGAAGGUUGGGUAACACUAACUGGAGGACCGAACCGACUAAUGUUGAAAAAUUAGCGGAUGACUUGUGGCUGGGGGUGAAAGGCCAAUCAAACCGGGAGAUAGCUGGUUCUCCCCGAAAGCUAUUUAGGUAGCGCCUCGUGAAUUCAUCUCCGGGGGUAGAGCACUGUUUCGGCAAGGGGGUCAUCCCGACUUACCAACCCGAUGCAAACUGCGAAUACCGGAGAAUGUUAUCACGGGAGACACACGGCGGGUGCUAACGUCCGUCGUGAAGAGGGAAACAACCCAGACCGCCAGCUAAGGUCCCAAAGUCAUGGUUAAGUGGGAAACGAUGUGGGAAGGCCCAGACAGCCAGGAUGUUGGCUUAGAAGCAGCCAUCAUUUAAAGAAAGCGUAAUAGCUCACUGGUCGAGUCGGCCUGCGCGGAAGAUGUAACGGGGCUAAACCAUGCACCGAAGCUGCGGCAGCGACGCUUAUGCGUUGUUGGGUAGGGGAGCGUUCUGUAAGCCUGCGAAGGUGUGCUGUGAGGCAUGCUGGAGGUAUCAGAAGUGCGAAUGCUGACAUAAGUAACGAUAAAGCGGGUGAAAAGCCCGCUCGCCGGAAGACCAAGGGUUCCUGUCCAACGUUAAUCGGGGCAGGGUGAGUCGACCCCUAAGGCGAGGCCGAAAGGCGUAGUCGAUGGGAAACAGGUUAAUAUUCCUGUACUUGGUGUUACUGCGAAGGGGGGACGGAGAAGGCUAUGUUGGCCGGGCGACGGUUGUCCCGGUUUAAGCGUGUAGGCUGGUUUUCCAGGCAAAUCCGGAAAACUAAGGCUGAGGCGUGAUGACGAGGCACUACGGUGCUGAAGCAACAAAUGCCCUGCUUCCAGGAAAAGCCUCUAAGCAUCAGGUAACAUCAAAUCGUACCCCAAACCGACACAGGUGGUCAGGUAGAGAAUACCAAGGCGCUUGAGAGAACUCGGGUGAAGGAACUAGGCAAAAUGGUGCCGUAACUUCGGGAGAAGGCACGCUGAUAUGUAGGUGAAGCGACUUGCUCGUGGAGCUGAAAUCAGUCGAAGAUACCAGCUGGCUGCAACUGUUUAUUAAAAACACAGCACUGUGCAAACACGAAAGUGGACGUAUACGGUGUGACGCCUGCCCGGUGCCGGAAGGUUAAUUGAUGGGGUCAGCGCAAGCGAAGCUCUUGAUCGAAGCCCCGGUAAACGGCGGCCGUAACUAUAACGGUCCUAAGGUAGCGAAAUUCCUUGUCGGGUAAGUUCCGACCUGCACGAAUGGCGUAAUGAUGGCCAGGCUGUCUCCACCCGAGACUCAGUGAAAUUGAACUCGCUGUGAAGAUGCAGUGUACCCGCGGCAAGACGGAAAGACCCCGUGAACCUUUACUAUAGCUUGACACUGAACAUUGAGCCUUGAUGUGUAGGAUAGGUGGGAGGCUUGGAAGUGUGGACGCCAGUCUGCAUGGAGCCGACCUUGAAAUACCACCCUUUAAUGUUUGAUGUUCUAACGUUGACCCGUAAUCCGGGUUGCGGACAGUGUCUGGUGGGUAGUUUGACUGGGGCGGUCUCCUCCUAAAGAGUAACGGAGGAGCACGAAGGUUGGCUAAUCCUGGUCGGACAUCAGGAGGUUAGUGCAAUGGCAUAAGCCAGCUUGACUGCGAGCGUGACGGCGCGAGCAGGUGCGAAAGCAGGUCAUAGUGAUCCGGUGGUUCUGAAUGGAAGGGCCAUCGCUCAACGGAUAAAAGGUACUCCGGGGAUAACAGGCUGAUACCGCCCAAGAGUUCAUAUCGACGGCGGUGUUUGGCACCUCGAUGUCGGCUCAUCACAUCCUGGGGCUGAAGUAGGUCCCAAGGGUAUGGCUGUUCGCCAUUUAAAGUGGUACGCGAGCUGGGUUUAGAACGUCGUGAGACAGUUCGGUCCCUAUCUGCCGUGGGCGCUGGAGAACUGAGGGGGGCUGCUCCUAGUACGAGAGGACCGGAGUGGACGCAUCACUGGUGUUCGGGUUGUCAUGCCAAUGGCACUGCCCGGUAGCUAAAUGCGGAAGAGAUAAGUGCUGAAAGCAUCUAAGCACGAAACUUGCCCCGAGAUGAGUUCUCCCUGACUCCUUGA
RNAcentral lists this ribosomal RNA (2789 nucleotides) under Escherichia coli. Its description in RNAcentral is "bacterial LSU rRNA". It matches the Rfam family "Bacterial large subunit ribosomal RNA". Lineage: Bacteria; Pseudomonadati; Pseudomonadota; Gammaproteobacteria; Enterobacterales; Enterobacteriaceae. The record is from RNAcentral.